This is an RNA transcript of Drosophila willistoni, 1469 nucleotides long. It is a transcript of the gene named RNA-binding protein 1, with no coding region annotated. NCBI's taxonomy places the organism in Eukaryota, Metazoa, Arthropoda, Insecta, Diptera, Drosophilidae. The record is from RefSeq and is a predicted model, not a curated record. The transcript has 4 exons.
AUUUCCACGGUAUGUGCAUGCAGUCACAUUAGCGUUAAAGCGGAAGGAAGUUUUGUUGAAUAAUUGUUCAAUUUGUAGUUAAGAUAUAUUGUAAUCUAGUAGCUCUAACUUGUUGCGUAAAUCAGCCAUUAUGCCCCGGUAUCGUGAAUGGGACUUAGCCUGCAAAGUGUAUGUUGGUAAUUUGGGAUCCUCGGCAUCAAAAUACGAGAUUGAAAACGCCUUUAGCAAAUAUGGGCCUUUGAAAAAUGUGUGGGUGGCUCGUAACCCGCCAGGUUUUGCAUUUGUUGAGUUCGAGGACAGGCGAGAUGCUGAGGACGCAACCCGUGCACUUGACGGCACACGCUGCUGUGGCACACGCAUUCGCGUGGAAAUGUCUUCGGGUCGAUCGCGUGAGCGCAGCCGUCGUGGUGGAGGACAAUCGGGUGAGGCUGGCAGCAACCGUGGAGGGGCCGGACGACACAGAACUUCUACUACUACUCUACUGCUACCUCUUCCUUCUACUACUACUACAACAACAACAACAACAGCAACAUCUUCACGAUUCACAGCUACAGCUCCUCCUUCGUCGCAAUCUGCACAGCCAAAACCAUCAGCAGGGUUAACAGCAAGUUUUUCAACUAUAAAACAACUAAUUACAAUGCUCUGCACCCCGGCACUCCAGACGUUACGUUUAGAAUCCAACAACGCAAUCCCCAUCAUUAUCACCACAGCACACAACGCAAGAAUCACUAAACACACCACCAAUCCACAGCCAGCGAUAAAGCAAUAUGUAUAUAAAUUCACCAUGAAACAUUUAUUUCCAAGCAUACAAAUAUGAGGCUAUCCAUAUUUAUUUUGAUAUCCGACAAAAAGGUUUUAUCCAUUUCAUGCUUCGUCAUGAAAAUGCGAACUUAAGUGCCGUCCAUUACUCCAUUCGCAUUUGAACUCUCAAAAGAGAACAAGGUAUAUACACGUAUUCCGACGAGGAAAUUCUCAUGCAUACACAUUAGUAAACGGUAUUGUAAUGAUUUUGCUUGUGUGUAUUCGCCCAAUACGACUAUUCGCAGGUUGUCAGCUUGAUUAUUAUUUCGAUUUUGCUUUAAUAAUAUAGUUUAAUUUGGAUUAUUCUGCUGAACUGUACCAUUUUAACAUCAUCAACUCGACCAUCAUACGCAACGUCAGCGAAUUGGAGCAGCAUCAUCUCUGAGCAUCAAUCCAGCUGUACCACCUGCCCGUCCUCCUUUCCACAACCUAGUGCGUUCCCAACAAACCAACUUCACUUCUCUACUCUGCUCAGCUCAGCUCAGUAAAUUGACUCGUUACAACAACAACCAACCAACCACCUACUCCAGCAAUCAACAAACCACAACGCACAUAUCGAGUGCCUACAGAACUUCCACACGUCUAAACGUACACUGUAUGAUCACGCUCACCACGCCGUUCCCGUACGCCACGCAGUCGUAGUUUUUCCCGUGAUCGACGCAGCCGUU